This 139-nucleotide small RNA is filed under the name Octodon degus (degu). Its description in RNAcentral is "TTC28 antisense RNA 1 conserved region 3 (ENSODEG00000022795.1)". Lineage: Eukaryota; Metazoa; Chordata; Mammalia; Rodentia; Octodontidae. The record is from RNAcentral.
ACACAAUGAGACGCUGGGGCUUGGACAUCCCAGGGAAGAGGAAGUGGCCACUUAUCCCAGGUGGUGGGUAGUAGGCAUUCUGGAGCUAGAAGGCCCUCAGGCCCACUGGGUUCAAGAAAUAUCCAGGGUAGUGAGAAGA